CGGGUGAGUAACGCGUAAAGAACUUGCCUCAUAGUCUGGGACAACAUUUGGAAACGGAUGCUAAUACCGGAUAUUAUGCUUUCUUCGCAUGGAGGAAGUAUGAAAGCUAUAUGCGCUAUGAGAGAGCUUUGCGUCCCAUUAGCUAGUUGGUGAGGUAACGGCCCACCAAGGCGAUGAUGGGUAGCCGGCCUGAGAGGGUGAACGGCCACAAGGGGACUGAGACACGGCCCUUACUCCUACGGGAGGCAGCAGCA
RNAcentral lists this ribosomal RNA (254 nucleotides) under uncultured Fusobacterium sp. RNAcentral describes it as "partial 16S ribosomal RNA". It matches the Rfam family "Bacterial small subunit ribosomal RNA", at positions 103 to 355 of the family's 1533-position model. Lineage: Bacteria; Fusobacteriati; Fusobacteriota; Fusobacteriia; Fusobacteriales; Fusobacteriaceae. The record is from RNAcentral.